GAAAGCAUCUAAGCGGGAAGCCAUCCCAAAGAUAAGAUAUCACUGGACCUUUAAGGUCCCUAAAGAUUCGUUGUAGACUACGACGUUGAUAGGCUGGGUGUGGAAGUUUGGUAACAAGCGGAGCUAACCAGUACUAAUUAAUCGUGAGGCUUGAUCUUGUAACAUUA
RNAcentral lists this ribosomal RNA (167 nucleotides) under Gammaproteobacteria bacterium. RNAcentral describes it as "partial 23S ribosomal RNA". It matches the Rfam family "Bacterial large subunit ribosomal RNA", at positions 2773 to 2925 of the family's 2925-position model. The record is from RNAcentral. Lineage: Bacteria; Pseudomonadati; Pseudomonadota; Gammaproteobacteria.